ACUUGUACUGAUUGAGAUUUUAACACGAAGUGAGUGGCGAACGGGUGAGUAACACGUGGGUAACCUGCCCAGAAGUAGGGGAUAACACCUGGAAACAGAUGCUAAUACCGUAUAACAGAGAAAACCGCAUGGUUUUCUUUUAAAAGAUGGCUCUGCUAUCACUUCUGGAUGGACCCGCGGCGUAUUAGCUAGUUGGUGAGGUAAAGGCUCACCAAGGCAGUGAUACGUAGCCGACCUGAGAGGGUAAUCGGCCACAUUGGGACUGAGACACGGCCCAGACUCCUACGGGAGGCAGCAGUAGGGAAUCUUCCACAAUGGACGCAAGUCUGAUGGAGCAACGCCGCGUGAGUGAAGAAGGGUUUCGGCUCGUAAAGCUCUGUUGUUAAAGAAGAACGUGGGUAAGAGUAACUGUUUACCCAGUGACGGUAUUUAACCAGAAAGCCACGGCUAACUACGUGCCAGCAGCCGCGGUAAUACGUAGGUGGCAAGCGUUAUCCG
RNAcentral lists this ribosomal RNA (498 nucleotides) under Pediococcus pentosaceus. Its description in RNAcentral is "bacterial SSU rRNA". It matches the Rfam family "Bacterial small subunit ribosomal RNA", at positions 66 to 547 of the family's 1533-position model. The record is from RNAcentral. Lineage: Bacteria; Bacillati; Bacillota; Bacilli; Lactobacillales; Lactobacillaceae.